Callithrix jacchus (white-tufted-ear marmoset) is the source of this 1168-nucleotide non-coding RNA. Lineage: Eukaryota; Metazoa; Chordata; Mammalia; Primates; Cebidae. The record is from RefSeq and is a predicted model, not a curated record.
AAGGAGGUUCCAGCAGUAUCAUUUUCUCCUCUGCCUCCCUGCCCUGGCCUGUGCUGCCCUGGGGAGGAGUUUUGGGAGCUUUGGCCAGCUCAGGAGGGCCCAAAGCGGAAGGGCACUGACUUCAACUGAAUUCUCCUAUCCGGUGGGUUCUCUCCAGAGGAUGCCUUACUGGGAGGACAGACACAAGCCUCAAGUCAUCCUCACUGGCCCCUAUGUCAAGGGGGCUCCCUGGCACGUGAACCUCUGUACUGCCUUGUCUUUCAGAGCACCCAUUCAGCCUGAGAGGACGUGUAUUCACCUAGAGAAGCAAAUGAUUCGAGGGCCCCUAUUUAAACACCACUGAACCUAUUCCUGUAGGUAUCAUAUAUGCUGAGAGUCCAAAGGCCUUGUAGAAAGUUCUUAAAGCGCCCUACUCCACAGGAUUGAGAUCCGACAGGGUGCCGCUAAAGGACAUUUUGCACUUCAGUCCAGAGCCUGGUGUGGGUGACAAAGCCCUGUAAGGCCAGGGCUGACUGAGGCUGCAUGACCGCUCCAGAACUGUCUAUAGGCCUCUCCUGCUCCCACGAGACCUCGAUGGAGGCAGGAAUCCCAAAUAUGGGAGCAAACACAAAAGAUCAGCACAUGUCCAAACCCACCCCCUCCACCAUCACCCAGUCAGGUCUGCAAGCCUACUCCAAGAAGGAACGGCAGGGCCUGCCCCGCCUCCAUCCCAUUAAAUGGGCUGGGUUAGAGUCCUCUCUAAUGACACAAUUAGUCACCCACUUGUCAAGCAAAGCGCCUGCUCAGAGGGGGUCUGGCGCACUUACACAGCAAACAGAAAUGCCUCUGAGCACUGCCGGGCUGCCUCCUCCUCCCCCGAAGGGCUUCUCUCCAGGGUAAACCAUUGUGUCCAGCACAGGACAGAGUGGGCAUGCAGACACGCUGACAACGCAGCCCGGCUCUCCUCCCUUCCAAGAAAAGGAGCUCAGGGGUCCAGAAUGCCUGCAGGGUGGAAGGGUGCCCUGAAGGAAAUGAAGGCCAUUGCUUUUGUUUCUCCAGAUCCUCCCUGGCCCUUGUUGCUGAACAGUGGAUUUUGAGAUAAAUACGUUGUAACCAAAAGCGAAUUUUUCUACCACUCCCCAGCCAACUCUUUAGUUAUUUUUAAUAAACAGGAGGGUCAUGCCUGGUA